AGCGAACGCUGGCGGCAGGCCUAACACAUGCAAGUCGAACGAACUCUUCGGAGUUAGUGGCGGACGGGUGAGUAACACGUGGGAACGUGCCUUUUGGUUCGGGAUAACUCAUGGAAACUUGUGCUAAUACCGAAUGUGCCCUUCUGGGGAAAGAUUUAUCGCCAUUGGAGCGGCCCGCGUCUGAUUAGCUAGUUGGUGAGGUAACGGCUCACAAAGGCGACGAUCAGUAGCUGGUCUGAGAGGAUGACCAGCCACACUGGGACUGAGACACGGCCCAGACUCCUACGGGAGGCAGCAGUGGGGAAUCUUGCGCAAUGGGCGAAAGCCUGACGCAGCCAUGCCGCGUGAAUGAUGAAGGUCUUAGGAUUGUAAAAUUCUUUAACCGGGGACGAUACUGACGGUACCCGGAGAAGAAGCCCCGGCUAACUUCGUG
This 433-nucleotide ribosomal RNA is filed under the name uncultured bacterium. RNAcentral's name for it is "partial 16S ribosomal RNA". It matches the Rfam family "Bacterial small subunit ribosomal RNA", at positions 29 to 507 of the family's 1533-position model. The record is from RNAcentral.